Molecule: ribosomal RNA, 229 nt
Filed under: uncultured bacterium
Lineage: Bacteria
Description: partial 16S ribosomal RNA
Rfam family: Bacterial small subunit ribosomal RNA
Source: RNAcentral
UACGUAGGUGGAAUAUUAAGUCAGUGGUGAAAUCCUGCGGCUCAACCGUAGAACUGCCAUUGAUACUGAUAUUCUUGAAUGUAGUUGAGGUAGGCGGAAUGUGUAAUGUAGCGGUGAAAUGCUUAGAUAUUACACAGAACACCGAUUGCGAAGGCAGCUUACUAAACUAUGAUUGACGCUGAGGUACGAAAGCGUGGGGAGCGAACAGGAUUAGAUACCCUGGUAGUCC